Molecule: ribosomal RNA, 253 nt
Filed under: uncultured bacterium
Lineage: Bacteria
Description: partial 16S ribosomal RNA
Rfam family: Bacterial small subunit ribosomal RNA
Source: RNAcentral
CACGUAGGGGACGAGCGUUGUCCGGAUUCAUUGGGCGUAAAGCGCGCGUAGGCGGCUCGGAAAGUCGGUCGUGAAAUGCCGGGGCUCAACCCCGGGACUGCGUCCGAUACUUCCGGGCUGGAGGUAGGUAGGGGAGAUCGGAAUUCCUGGUGUAGCGGUGAAAUGCGCAGAUAUCAGGAGGAACACCGGUGGCGAAGGCGACUACCUGGCCUGUUCUUGACGCUGAGGCGCGAAAGCUAGGGGAGCAAACGGG